AACCUCUCCGGUAGCUCUGUGGUUAGAGCGUCCACCUCAGAUUCAGGAGGUCGUGGGUUCAAACCCCGGCCGAGUCA
Non-coding RNA from Potamilus streckersoni, 77 nucleotides. NCBI's taxonomy places the organism in Eukaryota, Metazoa, Mollusca, Bivalvia, Unionida, Unionidae. The record is from the annotation of a GenBank genome assembly.